CACGUAGGGGGCGAGCGUUGUCCGGAUUUAUUGGGCGUAAAGAGCUCGUAGGUGGUUCGGUAAGUCGGGUGUGAAAACUCUGGGCUCAACCCAGAGACGCCACCUGAUACUGCCGUGACUGGAGUCUGGUAGGGGAGUGUGGAAUUUCCGGUGUAGCGGUGAAAUGCGCAGAUAUCGGAAGGAACACCAGUGGCGAGGGCGGCACUCUGGGCCAGUACUGACACUGAGGAGCGAAAGCGUGGGUAGUGAACAGG
RNAcentral lists this ribosomal RNA (254 nucleotides) under uncultured bacterium. RNAcentral describes it as "partial 16S ribosomal RNA". It matches the Rfam family "Bacterial small subunit ribosomal RNA", at positions 524 to 776 of the family's 1533-position model. The record is from RNAcentral.